This 448-nucleotide ribosomal RNA is filed under the name uncultured bacterium. RNAcentral's name for it is "SSU rRNA". It matches the Rfam family "Bacterial small subunit ribosomal RNA", at positions 26 to 518 of the family's 1533-position model. The record is from RNAcentral.
AGAACGAACGCUGGCGGCAGGCUUAACACAUGCAAGUCGAACGCUCAUAGCAAUAUGGGAGUGGCGCACGGGUGAGUAACGCGUGGGAACGUGCCCUUCAGUUCGGGAUAACCACUGGAAACGGUGGCUAAUACCGAAUAUUCCCUCCGGGGGAAAGAUUUAUCGCUGAAGGAUCGGCCCGCGUAAGAUUAGGUAGUUGGUGGGGUAAUGGCCUACCAAGCCUACGACCUUUAGCUGGUCUGAGAGGAUGAUCAGCCACACUGGAACUGAGACACGGUCCAGACUCCUACGGGAGGCAGCAGUGGGGAAUAUUGGACAAUGGGCGAAAGCCUGAUCCAGCCAUGCCGCGUGUGUGAUGAAGGCCUUAGGGUUGUAAAGCACUUUUGUCAGGGAAGAUAAUGACGGUACCUGAAGAAUAAGCACCGGCUAACUUCGUGCCAGCAGCCGC